Molecule: long non-coding RNA, 213 nt
Filed under: Homo sapiens (human)
Lineage: Eukaryota; Metazoa; Chordata; Mammalia; Primates; Hominidae
Description: HSALNT0406786
Source: RNAcentral
ACGAUCUCGGCUCACCGCAACCUCCACCUCCCAGUUCAAGCGAUUCUCCUGCCUCAGCCUCCCGAGUAGCUGGGAUUACAGGCGCCCGCCACCACGCCCGGCUAAUUUUUUGUAUUUUUAGUAGUAGAGACGGGGUUUCACCGUGUUGGCCAGGAUGGUCUCGAUCUCCUGACCUUGUGAUCCACCCACCUCGGCCUCCCAAAGUGCUGGGAU